This is a non-coding RNA of Xylona heveae TC161, 107 nucleotides long. NCBI's taxonomy places the organism in Eukaryota, Fungi, Ascomycota, Xylonomycetes, Xylonales, Xylonaceae. The record is from the annotation of a RefSeq genome assembly.
GGCCGGUUGGUGUAGUUGGUUAUCACGUAUCGUUAACAAGUGGCUUUAAGUCAUUUGGAAAACAAGAAAAUCCGAUAAGGUCCUGAGUUCGAGUCUCAGACUGGUCA